Molecule: long non-coding RNA, 342 nt
Organism: Tachysurus fulvidraco (yellow catfish)
Lineage: Eukaryota; Metazoa; Chordata; Actinopteri; Siluriformes; Bagridae
Exons: 5
Source: RefSeq, a predicted model, not a curated record
ACCAAGGAUAUUAAUGAUGAUCAGCUGAGUACGCUGCACCUCACACCCUGUGAACCAUUGGAGAACACAAGCAACUGCGAGGUGGUGAGGACCACACUACAGAGGGGGAGAUGGAGCAGACGAGCACUACAGAGGGGAGGAUGGAGCAGAUGAGUACUUCGGAGGGUCAAGCUGUCUUCACAGGGUCAGCCAGGGGCACAGUCACAAGUCCCAAAAAGAAAAAGUCAGGUGGACUAAGACAUAUGCCUGAGAGGAAAAAGCCACAAAAGAGGCAAAGCAGAAAUGUUGGUUGACUGGGAGCCCUGUCCAGUAUGUGGCAAGGAGUGGGCCUAUUCCUGGCAG